AGAGUUUGAUCAUGGCUCAGGACGAACGCUGGCGGCGUGCUUAACACAUGCAAGUCGAACGGAAAGGCCCCUUCGGGGGUACUCGAGUGGCGAACGGGUGAGUAACACGUGGGUGAUCUGCCCUGCACUUUGGGAUAAGCCUGGGAAACUGGGUCUAAUACCGAAUAGGACCGCAUGCUUCAUGGUGUGUGGUGGAAAGCUUUUGCGGUGUGGGAUGGGCCCGCGGCCUAUCAGCUUGUUGGUGGGGUAAUGGCCUACCAAGGCGACGACGGGUAGCCGGCCUGAGAGGGUGUCCGGCCACACUGGGACUGAGAUACGGCCCAGACUCCUACGGGAGGCAGCAGUGGGGAAUAUUGCACAAUGGGCGCAAGCCUGAUGCAGCGACGCCGCGUGGGGGAUGACGGCCUUCGGGUUGUAAACCUCUUUCAGUAUCGGCGAAGCUCCAGGAUUUUUCUUGGGGUGACGGUAGGUACAGAAGAAGCACCGGCCAACUACGUGCCAGCAGCCGCGGUAAUACGUAGGGUGCGAGCGUUGUCCGGAAUUACUGGGCGUAAAGAGCUCGUAGGUGGUUUGUCACGUUGUCUGUGAAAACUCACAGCUUAACUGUGGGCGUGCGGGCGAUACGGGCAGACUGGAGUACUGUAGGGGAGACUGGAAUUCCUGGUGUAGCGGUGGAAUGCGCAGAUAUCAGGAGGAACACCGGUGGCGAAGGCGGGUCUCCGGGCAGUAACUGACGCUGAGGAGCGAAAGCGUGGGGAGCGAACAGGAUUAGAUACCCUGGUAGUCCAA
RNAcentral lists this ribosomal RNA (789 nucleotides) under uncultured bacterium. RNAcentral's name for it is "bacterial SSU rRNA". It matches the Rfam family "Bacterial small subunit ribosomal RNA", at positions 8 to 798 of the family's 1533-position model. The record is from RNAcentral.